UUCUCUGGCCGCAGGAGAUAUGUAAUUUUGGACGGUUUGUUGAAUCAGCUGCCUCAACCGGAAGUGUAUCAGUGAUGUAUGUUGUCGACCUUACGACGGCUGCCUAUUAUCAAAGUGUCACGAUCCAGAUUGUGGAGGUUACCGAUCUCCACUGCGUCCAAGUCCAAUUGAUGCCAUUCCUAAUCCUUGGGUCUCCACGGAUUCAGAACAGAUAUCAAAUGACAUAGAGUCGUCCAACUGAUGCCAUCUUCGUGCAUGCGUUUCCAACUCGCGAGCAGCUAGGUUUCGGAUGCAAGGUAAGCAAAAAUCCAUGAACACUUAAUUAUUUUCUGAGCUCUUUGAUAUUGUCCAUAGUUAAUUGAGCUUAAGAGUCAAAUUGUUCUGCUACCCUUUCAAAGCUCCACACCAUUAGAGAGCCAGUUUUCUUAACGCCAUUAGCCAUGGUUCAAAAUAUGAAAUUGAAUAGUAAUUUUUAGAAAAGCUUCACAUAAAUUUGUUACUUUCAAAAGCGUCGCAAUAGUAAAUUAGCUCCCCACCUUUUGAAAAUGAAAACUCAUUGGAGAGACAUUGAAGAUAUUAUUAAAUGUUAAAACUACCAGUUUUUCUUCCAAUUUCAUUCUCUAAUUGGUUUGAGCAGGUAAAAUUUUGGCUACGGCGGAAGGUAUUUGGUCUUUUAGUUGAUAUACACAAAUGAAGAAUAGGAAAAGGAAGAAGGAGGGGGUCACUGCCACCGUGAGUGUGGUGAGUAGAAAGAGAGGUGAAGAGUGAG
This is a long non-coding RNA of Cucurbita maxima (winter squash), 769 nucleotides long. RefSeq lists it as uncharacterized. The transcript has 3 exons. Lineage: Eukaryota; Viridiplantae; Streptophyta; Magnoliopsida; Cucurbitales; Cucurbitaceae. The record is from RefSeq and is a predicted model, not a curated record.